CAGUAGCCGCGGUAAUACGUAGGGUGCAAGCGUUGUCCGGAAUUAUUGGGCGUAAAGAGCUCGUAGGCGGUUUGUCGCGUCUGCUGUGAAAACCCGAGGCUCAACCUCGGGCCUGCAGUGGGUACGGGCAGACUAGAGUGCGGUAGGGGAGAUUGGAAUUCCUGGUGUAGCGGUGGAAUGCGCGGAUAUCAGGAGGAACACCGAUGGCGAAGGCAGAUCUCUGGGCCGUAACUGACGCUGAGGAGCAAAAGCGUGGGGAGCAAACAGGAUUAGAUACCCCAGUAGUCCCUGUCUCUUAUAC
RNAcentral lists this ribosomal RNA (301 nucleotides) under uncultured bacterium. RNAcentral's name for it is "partial 16S ribosomal RNA". It matches the Rfam family "Bacterial small subunit ribosomal RNA", at positions 509 to 807 of the family's 1533-position model. The record is from RNAcentral.